UAAUACGUAGGCAGCAAGCGUUGUUCGGAGUUACUGGGCGUAAAGAGUACGUAGGCGGUUUGCUAAGUCUGGUGUGAAAUCUCCUGGCUUAACUGGGAGGGUGCGCUAGAUACUGGCAGGCUUGAGUAUGGGAGAGGAGAGUGGAAUUCCUGGUGUAGCGGUGAAAUGCGUAGAUAUCAGGAGGAACGCCGGUGGUGUAGACGGCUCUCUGGACCAUUACUGACGCUGAGGUACGAAAGCGUGGGUAGCAAACAG
RNAcentral lists this ribosomal RNA (255 nucleotides) under uncultured prokaryote. RNAcentral describes it as "partial 16S ribosomal RNA". It matches the Rfam family "Bacterial small subunit ribosomal RNA", at positions 521 to 775 of the family's 1533-position model. The record is from RNAcentral.